GACGAACGCUGGCGGCGCGCUUAACACAUGCAAGUCGAGCGAGAACCGGGGCUUCGGCCCCGGGGACAGCGGCGAACGGGUGAGUAACACGUGGGUAACCUGCCCUCGGCACCGGGAUAGCCCGGGGAAACUCGGAUUAAUACCGGGAUGGCCCCUCCGACCUUCGGGUCGGCUGGGAAAAGGUAGCUUCGGCUUCCGGCCGAUGAUGGGCCCGCGGCGGAUUAGCUUGUUGGUGGGGUAACGGCCCACCAAGGCUCCGAUCCGUAGCUGGUCUGAGAGGACGAUCAGCCACACUGGGACUGAGACACGGCCCAGACUCCUACGGGAGGCAGCAGUGGGGAAUCUUGCGCAAUGGGCGAAAGCCUGACGCAGCGACGCCGCGUGAGGGAAG
Molecule: ribosomal RNA, 391 nt
Filed under: uncultured bacterium
Lineage: Bacteria
Description: bacterial SSU rRNA
Rfam family: Bacterial small subunit ribosomal RNA
Source: RNAcentral